Molecule: ribosomal RNA, 1372 nt
Filed under: uncultured bacterium
Lineage: Bacteria
Description: bacterial SSU rRNA
Rfam family: Bacterial small subunit ribosomal RNA
Source: RNAcentral
GAUGAACGCUGGCGGCGUGCCUAAUACAUGCAAGUCGAGCGAACGGACGAGAAGCUUGCUUCUCUGAUGUUAGCGGCGGACGGGUGAGUAACACGUGGAUAACCUACCUAUAAGACUGGGAUAACUUCGGGAAACCGGAGCUAAUACCGGAUAAUAUUUUGAACCGCAUGGUUCAAAAGUGAAAGACGGUCUUGCUGUCACUUAUAGAUGGAUCCGCGCUGCAUUAGCUAGUUGGUAAGGUAACGGCUUACCAAGGCAACGAUGCAUAGCCGACCUGAGAGGGUGAUCGGCCACACUGGAACUGAGACACGGUCCAGACUCCUACGGGAGGCAGCAGUAGGGAAUCUUCCGCAAUGGGCGAAAGCCUGACGGAGCAACGCCGCGUGAGUGAUGAAGGUCUUCGGAUCGUAAAACUCUGUUAUUAGGGAAGAACAUAUGUGUAAGUAACUGUGCACAUCUUGACGGUACCUAAUCAGAAAGCCACGGCUAACUACGUGCCAGCAGCCGCGGUAAUACGUAGGUGGCAAGCGUUAUCCGGAAUUAUUGGGCGUAAAGCGCGCGUAGGCGGUUUUUUAAGUCUGAUGUGAAAGCCCACGGCUCAACCGUGGAGGGUCAUUGGAAACUGGAAAACUUGAGUGCAGAAGAGGAAAGUGGAAUUCCAUGUGUAGCGGUGAAAUGCGCAGAGAUAUGGAGGAACACCAGUGGCGAAGGCGACUUUCUGGUCUGUAACUGACGCUGAUGUGCGAAAGCGUGGGGAUCAAACAGGAUUAGAUACCCUGGUAGUCCACGCCGUAAACGAUGAGUGCUAAGUGUUAGGGGGUUUCCGCCCCUUAGUGCUGCAGCUAACGCAUUAAGCACUCCGCCUGGGGAGUACGACCGCAAGGUUGAAACUCAAAGGAAUUGACGGGGACCCGCACAAGCGGUGGAGCAUGUGGUUUAAUUCGAAGCAACGCGAAGAACCUUACCAAAUCUUGACAUCCUUUGACAACUCUAGAGAUAGAGCUUUCCCCUUCGGGGGACAAAGUGACAGGUGGUGCAUGGUUGUCGUCAGCUCGUGUCGUGAGGUGUUGGGUUAAGUCCCGCAACGAGCGCAACCCUUAAGCUUAGUUGCCAUCAUUAAGUUGGGCACUCUAAGUUGACUGCCGGUGACAAACCGGAGGAAGGUGGGGAUGACGUCAAAUCAUCAUGCCCCUUAUGAUUUGGGCUACACACGUGCUACAAUGGACAAUACAAAGGGCAGCGAAACCGCGAGGUCAAGCAAAUCCCAUAAAGUUGUUCUCAGUUCGGAUUGUAGUCUGCAACUCGACUACAUGAAGCUGGAAUCGCUAGUAAUCGUAGAUCAGCAUGCUACGGUGAAUACGAUCCCGGGUCU